GUUUUAAUAAUUUUAAUAAAAAUAUUGGUCUUGUAAACCAAAAAUGGGGAUUACCCUUAAAACA
RNAcentral lists this transfer RNA (64 nucleotides) under Anoplistes halodendri. RNAcentral's name for it is "tRNA-Thr". The record is from RNAcentral. Lineage: Eukaryota; Metazoa; Arthropoda; Insecta; Coleoptera; Cerambycidae.